CAGUAGCCGCGGGAAUACAGAGGGUGCAAGCGUUAAUCGGAAUUACUGGGCGUAAAGCGCGCGUAGGUGGUUUGUUAAGUUGGAUGUGAAAUCCCCGGGCUCAACCUGGGAACUGCAUCCAAAACUGGCAGGCUAGAGUAGGGCAGAGGGUGGUGGAAUUUCCUGUGUAGCGGUGAAAUGCGUAGAUAUAGGAAGGAACACCAGUGGCGAAGGCGACCACCUGGGCUCAUACUGACACUGAGGUGCGAAAGCGUGGGGAGCAAACAGGAUUAGAUACCCCGGUAGUCCCUGUCUCUUAUAA
This 301-nucleotide ribosomal RNA is filed under the name uncultured bacterium. RNAcentral describes it as "partial 16S ribosomal RNA". It matches the Rfam family "Bacterial small subunit ribosomal RNA", at positions 509 to 809 of the family's 1533-position model. The record is from RNAcentral.